AGGUCCAUUCUAAUUCCCUGCAGGUCAGUGCCAGUACCUGCUGGGUUUCGCUUGUGGACCACAUUAAACUGGAGAACUCAAGCAUGUGUGAGCUUACUGGUAGUGUGCUCAUGAUGUAGUUUUCUGGACAUGU
Small nucleolar RNA from Cyanistes caeruleus (blue tit), 133 nucleotides. The record is from Ensembl. NCBI's taxonomy places the organism in Eukaryota, Metazoa, Chordata, Aves, Passeriformes, Paridae.